CCUACGGGCGGCAGCAGUGGGGAAUUUUGGACAAUGGGCGCAAGCCUGAUCCAGCUAUUCCGCGUGUGGGAAGACGGCCUUCGGGUUGUAAACCACUUUUGUAGAGAACGAAAAGUCUGUUGAUAAUACCGAUAGAUGAUGACGGUACUCUAAGAAUAAGCACCGGCUAACUACGUGCCAGCAGCCGCGGUAAUACGUAGGGUGCGAGCGUUAAUCGGAAUUACUGGGCGUAAGGGGUGUGCAGGCGGUUUUGCAAGCUGGAUGUGAAAGCCCCGGGCUUAACCUGGGAAAGCCAUACAUGACUGCAAGACUAGAGUGCGUCAGAGGGGGGUGGAAUUCCAAGUGUAGCAGUGAAAUGCGUAGAUAUUUGGAAGAACACCGAUGGCGAAGGCAGCCCCCUGGGACGCAACUGACGCUCAUACACGAAAGCGUGGGGAGCAAACAGGAUUAGAUACCCCGGUAGUC
RNAcentral lists this ribosomal RNA (465 nucleotides) under uncultured bacterium. Its description in RNAcentral is "partial 16S ribosomal RNA". It matches the Rfam family "Bacterial small subunit ribosomal RNA", at positions 338 to 795 of the family's 1533-position model. The record is from RNAcentral.